This 460-nucleotide ribosomal RNA is filed under the name uncultured bacterium. RNAcentral describes it as "partial 16S ribosomal RNA". It matches the Rfam family "Bacterial small subunit ribosomal RNA", at positions 338 to 795 of the family's 1533-position model. The record is from RNAcentral.
CCUACGGGAGGCAGCAGUGAGGAAUAUUGGUCAAUGGACGAGAGUCUGAACCAGCCAAGUAGCGUGAAGGAUGACUGCCCUAUGGGUUGUAAACUUCUUUUAUAUGGGAAUAAAAUGUUCCACGUGUGGGAUUUUGUAUGUACCAUAUGAAUAAGGAUCGGCUAACUCCGUGCCAGCAGCCGCGGUAAUACGGAGGAUCCGAGCGUUAUCCAGAUUUAUUGGGUUUAAAGGGAGCGUAGGUGGAUUGUUAAGUCAGUUGUGAAAGUUUGCGGCUCAACCGUAAAAUUGCAGUUGAAACUGGCAGUCUUGAGUACAGUAGAGGUGGGCGGAAGUCGUGGUGUAGCGGUGAAAUGCUUAGAUAUCACGAAGAACUCCGAUUGCGAAGGCAGUUCACUGGACUGCAACUGACACUGAGGCUCGAAAGUGUGGGUAUCAAACAGGAUUAGAUACCCGUGUAGUC